UACAGAGGUCUCAAGCGUUGUUCGGAUUCAUUGGGCGUAAAGGGUGCGUAGGCGGUAGGGUAAGUCUGGUGUGAAAUCUUGGGGCUCAACCUCAAAAUUGCACUGGAUACUGCUCUGCUUGAGGACUGGAGAGGAGAUUGGAAUUCACGGUGUAGCAGUGAAAUGCGUAGAUAUCGUGAGGAAGACCAGUGGCGAAGGCGAAUCUCUGGACAGAUCCUGACGCUGAGGCACGAAGGCCAGGGGAGCAAACGGG
RNAcentral lists this ribosomal RNA (253 nucleotides) under uncultured bacterium. Its description in RNAcentral is "partial 16S ribosomal RNA". It matches the Rfam family "Bacterial small subunit ribosomal RNA", at positions 524 to 776 of the family's 1533-position model. The record is from RNAcentral.